UACGUAGGUGACAAGCGUUAUCCGGAAUUACUGGGCGUAAAGCGCACGCAGGCGGCUGCGUAAGUCUGACGUGAAAUCUCUCGGCCUAACCGGGAGCGGUCGUUGGAAACUAUGCGGCUUGAGGCGAUGAGAGGGGUGUGGAAUUCCCGGUGUAGUGGUGGAAUGCGUAGAUAUCGGGAGGAACAUCAGUGGCGAAAGCGGCACCCUGGCAUUAGCCUGACGCUCAGGUGCGAAAGCGUGGGGAGCGAACGGG
This 253-nucleotide ribosomal RNA is filed under the name uncultured bacterium. Its description in RNAcentral is "partial 16S ribosomal RNA". It matches the Rfam family "Bacterial small subunit ribosomal RNA", at positions 524 to 776 of the family's 1533-position model. The record is from RNAcentral.